AAAGAGGGGUCCGUGACCUCCGUGAACCUGACUAAGCUAGAGGGUGGCGUGGCCUAUAACGUGAUACCUGCCACCAUGAGCGCCAGCUUUGACUUCCGUGUGGCACCGGAUAUGGACUUCAAGGUGCCACCUCCACCUGGGUUUGGAGGAGGGAUCCUGGGUCCUCAAUCUUGUCCUAGAGGCCUCUGGAAAGCCUGAAGGAUCAGCUCGUCUCCCUUCUCUUAGGCUUUUGAGGAGCAGCUGCAGAGCUGGUGCCAGGCAGCUGGCGAGGGGGUCACCUUAGAGUUUGCUCAGAAGUGGAUGCACCCCCAAGUGACACCUACUGAUGACUCAAACCCCUGGUGGGCAGCUUUUAGCCGGGUCUGCAAGGACAUGAAGCUUACUCUGGAGCCUGAGAUCAUGCCUGCUGCCACUGACAACCGCUAUAUCCGCGCGGUGGGGAUCCCAGCUCUAGGCUUCUCACCCAUGAACCGCACACCUGUGCUGCUGCACGACCACGAUGAACGGCUGCAUGAGGCUGUGUUCCUCCGUGGGGUGGACAUAUAUACACGCCUGCUGCCUGCCCUUGCCAGUGUGCCUGCCCUGCCCAGUGAGAGCUGAGCCCCGGAACUCCUCAACCUUUGCCCCUGGGGCUUCCAUCCCAACCAGUGCCAAGGACCUCCUCUUCCCCCUUCCAAAUAAUAAA
This 685-nucleotide small RNA is filed under the name Pongo abelii (Sumatran orangutan). RNAcentral describes it as "retained intron". The record is from RNAcentral. Lineage: Eukaryota; Metazoa; Chordata; Mammalia; Primates; Hominidae.